Molecule: ribosomal RNA, 207 nt
Filed under: uncultured Lactobacillus sp.
Lineage: Bacteria; Bacillati; Bacillota; Bacilli; Lactobacillales; Lactobacillaceae
Description: partial 16S ribosomal RNA
Rfam family: Bacterial small subunit ribosomal RNA
Source: RNAcentral
AAGAUGCUAAUAACUCGAUAAAAGCUACUUUCGCAUGAAAGAAGUUUAAAAGGCGGCGUAAGCUGUCGCUAAAGGAUGGACCUGCGAUGCAUUAGCUAGUUGGUAAGGUAACGGCUUACCAAGGCGAUGAUGCAUAGCCGAGUUGAGAGACUGAUCGGCCACAUUGGGACUGAGACACGGCCCAAACUCCUACGGGAGGCAGCAGGC